Molecule: long non-coding RNA, 449 nt
Organism: Prionailurus viverrinus (fishing cat)
Lineage: Eukaryota; Metazoa; Chordata; Mammalia; Carnivora; Felidae
Exons: 3
Source: RefSeq, a predicted model, not a curated record
AAUGAUGCACUUGGGGAUUCUUCAGGAUGAUGAAAGACACUAAGGAAAUUCAAAUUACUCAGUAAUGUUAUGAUUAUAAAUUACAGAUUGAUCAAAGACAGAAAGGAAUGAGUAGGACAGAGAGAAUCAUAGCCCAGUGCUGGGAAGUCACACACCGCUCCACUCUUUCUAGACACCAAAGGUUUUGGUAUCAACCAGGAAACAGAACCUACGAGUAAGGUGAUUUCAGUCAACAGCAGAGCCAGAUCGGGACAAUGAUCGGGACAAUUCCACUGCUGCCAGGAGGUUUCGUGCGACUUUGUUUUAAAAGUUGGGGCUCUAGCCUGUGUUUCUGCUGUUGAGGCCAAUCACCAUCAUUACCAGCGUCUUUGAAGCUGUCUCUGUUUCUCCCAAAGGAAAAGAAAAACUGUAUCCUUUAUUGUAACCAUCCAGCGUUUCUGCUGAGUAUA